GAUGAACGCUAGCGGCAGGCCUAAUACAUGCAAGCCGAACGGCAAGUUUGAUAGCAAUAUUGGACCUAGAGUGGCGCAAGGGUGCGUAACACGUAUGCAACCUGCCCGCGACAGGAGGAUAGCUCCCCGAAAGGGGAAUUAACCCUCCAUAACACCAUGAGAAGGCAUCUGAUUAUGGUUAAACCGCAAGGGGUCGCGGAUGGGCAUGCGGUUGAUUAGCUAGUUGGCGGGGUAAAGGCCCACCAAGGCGGUGAUCAAUAGGGGUUCUGAGAGGAAGGUCCCCAACACGAGCACAGAGAUACGGGCCAAACCCCGACGGGAGGAAGCAGGAGGGAAUAUUGGAAAAGGGUUGCAAGACUGAACCAGCCAUGCCGCGUGCAGGAAAAAGGCCUUCUAGGUCGUAAACUGCUUUUUCCUGUGAAAAAAAACCCAGUGCGCGGGGAAUUGAGGGUAACAGGGGAAUAAGCCACGGCAAACUACGG
This 482-nucleotide ribosomal RNA is filed under the name uncultured bacterium. RNAcentral's name for it is "partial 16S ribosomal RNA". It matches the Rfam family "Bacterial small subunit ribosomal RNA", at positions 28 to 506 of the family's 1533-position model. The record is from RNAcentral.